CCUACGGGAGGCAGCAGUAGGGAAUUUUGCGCAAUGGGCGAAAGCCUGACGCAGCAACACCGCGUGAAUGUUAAGCCCUUCGGGGUGUAAAGUUCUGUCAAUAGGGACGAAUUUUGACUGUACCUAUAAAGGAAGCACCGGCUAACUCCGUGCCAGCAGCCGCGGUAAUACGGGGGGUGCAAGCGUUGUCCGGAAUCAUUGGGCGUAAAGCGUUCGUAGGCGGCAAGGUAAGUCUGAUGUUAAAGCCCGGGGCUCAACUCCGGUUCGGCAUUGGAUACUAUCUAGCUAGAAUGUGGUAGAGGUAAAGGGAAUUCCUGGUGUAGCGGUGAAAUGCUUAGAUAUUACUCAGAACACCGAUUGCGCAGGCAGCUUGCUAAUCCGCAUCUGACGCUGAUGCACGAAAGCGUGGGUAGCGAACAGGAUUAGAUACCCUAGUAGUC
This 440-nucleotide ribosomal RNA is filed under the name uncultured bacterium. RNAcentral describes it as "partial 16S ribosomal RNA". It matches the Rfam family "Bacterial small subunit ribosomal RNA", at positions 338 to 795 of the family's 1533-position model. The record is from RNAcentral.